This 69-nucleotide ribosomal RNA is filed under the name Sutterella massiliensis. Its description in RNAcentral is "partial 16S ribosomal RNA". It matches the Rfam family "Bacterial small subunit ribosomal RNA", at positions 1468 to 1533 of the family's 1533-position model. The record is from RNAcentral. Lineage: Bacteria; Pseudomonadati; Pseudomonadota; Betaproteobacteria; Burkholderiales; Sutterellaceae.
UUCAUGACUGGGGUGAAGUCGUAACAAGGUAGCAGUACCGGAAGGUGCGGCUGGAUCACCUCCUUUAAA